UCCACUCAACACACCGAGGAGCGGCCCAGGCACGCGGGAGGCAAGAGCAGGCGAGCGACCCCCGCAGACCUCACGUCUGUAUUCCGCAGCCAGGACCACGGGGCACGUCACCCCUUCCCACGGAGUCUGAGGUCUUGGUGCUUUGCUGCAAACUUCCCGGUCUGCACUCGGCUUCCACGAGACGCGCCUUUCCAAGAGCCACAGGCAUCAGUUUGGCGCCUCCAAGGCCAGGACCAAGGGAGCAGGUGGCUCCAUCUCCUGUGGUUCCCGCCAGCGGCGCGCACACGGCUCCCGGGGAGCAGACCGCCCCCCAAUACCCCUGCUGUUCCCCCUGCAGGUCGCUGGCUGCAAGCUGGGGGCGGGGCGGGGGGGGCUGUUCCAGGGCCGCCUGCAGGCUCGCCUCCCUGCACCCGCAGACGGACUACCGGGCCGGUUCUCCGCCGUGGAGCGCAGGCUGGGAGCGAGGCCGGCGGCGGAAGCACGCAGGGGCCCCUCCGGGCGGGCCCGGAACCGCGGCGUCCUCCGCGCGGCCCCGGCCCCCGCACGGCCACCCGCGGGCUGCAGGCGCCUCCCGCCGCUACUGGGAGCCGCAGAGCCGCGUCGCACGGGGCACGCCGGGGGGCAGCGCGGAAGAGCGGGACCGACGAAGCGCCGCGCCGCGCCGCCCUUAGCCACCGGGGCCUCUCCAGGCGCCUCGCAGGUGGCGGCAGGACCGGGGAGGCCCCGCCAGGGGAGACCCGCGCCCGCGGCUCCUCGGCGCGAGCGCUGCUGCGGGGGAUGCGCGGGGUCACCCCGGGGCCGCGAGGGCGCAGCGGCCCCCGGACCCGCGGGGAGCGGACACCCCCCGCCCUGGAGGCGGCGGCGCUCGCGGGGCCGGUCCCUCGUGUUCCCUGGUUCAGGGCAACGCCCGGGCUCGCCGCGUCUUCCAGCUACGGGGCCCGCGAAACUUCAUCGGAGUUAAGCGGAUCUCCUCGCGGCUGUCCGGCCUCGCCGCACGUUUAA
RNAcentral lists this long non-coding RNA (1002 nucleotides) under Vulpes vulpes (red fox). Its description in RNAcentral is "lncRNA (ENSVVUG00000021448.1)". The record is from RNAcentral. Lineage: Eukaryota; Metazoa; Chordata; Mammalia; Carnivora; Canidae.